This 598-nucleotide ribosomal RNA is filed under the name uncultured bacterium. RNAcentral describes it as "bacterial SSU rRNA". It matches the Rfam family "Bacterial small subunit ribosomal RNA", at positions 112 to 704 of the family's 1533-position model. The record is from RNAcentral.
AAUACUUAGGAAUCUGCCUAUUAGUGGGGGACAACAUUUCGAAAGGAAUGCUAAUACCGCAUACGCCCUACGGGGGAAAGCAGGGGCUCUUCGGACCUUGCGCUAAUAGAUGAGCCUAAGUCAGAUUAGCUAGUUGGUGGGGUAAAGGCCUACCAAGGCGACGAUCUGUAACGGGUCUGAGAGGAUGAUCCGUCACACUGGGACUGAGACACGGCCCAGACUCCUACGGGAGGCAGCAGUGGGGAAUAUUGGACAAUGGGGGCAACCCUGAUCCAGCCAUGCCGCGUGUGUGAAGAAGGCCUUUUGGUUGUAAAGCACUUUAAGCGAGGAGGAGGCUCCUGUAGAUAAUACCUACAGUGAGUGGACGUUACUCGCAGAAUAAGCACCGGCUAACUCUGUGCCAGCAGCCGCGGUAAUACAGAGGGUGCGAGCGUUAAUCGGAUUUACUGGGCGUAAAGCGUGCGUAGGUGGCCAAUUAAGUCAAAUGUGAAAUCCCUGAGCUUAACUUAGGAAUUGCAUUCGAUACUGGUUGGCUAGAGUAUGGGAGAGGAUGGGUAGAAUUCCAGGUGUAGCGGUGAAAUGCGUAGAGAUCUGGAGG